RNAcentral lists this ribosomal RNA (2174 nucleotides) under human gut metagenome. RNAcentral's name for it is "bacterial LSU rRNA". It matches the Rfam family "Bacterial large subunit ribosomal RNA", at positions 753 to 2925 of the family's 2925-position model. The record is from RNAcentral.
GUGGUAACACACACUGGAGGACCGAACCGACUAGUGUUGCAAAAUUAGCGGAUGAGCUGUGGAUAGGGGUGAAAGGCUAAACAAAUCUGGAGAUAGCUGGUUCUCCCCGAAAACUAUUGAGGUAGUGCCUCGUGUAUGACUCCAGGGGGUAGAGCACUGUUAUGGCUAGGGGGACAUGGCGUCUUACCAAACCAUGGCAAACUCCGAAUACUUGGAAGUUUGAGCACGGGAGACAGAGCACCGGGUGCUAACGUCCGGACUCAAAAGGGAAACAACCCAGACCGCCGGCUAAGGUCCCUAAUAUUGACUAAGUGGAAAACGAAGUGGGAAGGCUAAGACAGUCAGGAAGUUGGCUUAGAAGCAGCCAUCCUUCAAAGAAAGCGUAAUAGCUCACUGAUCGAGUCUUCCUGCGCGGAAGAUGUAACGGGGCUAAGUCAAUAACCGAAGCCGCGGAUGCACAGCAAUGUGCGUGGUAGGGGAGCGUUCCGUAAGCCUGCGAAGGUGACUUGCAAAGGUUGCUGGAGGUAUCGGAAGUGCGAAUGCUGACAUGAGUAACGUUAAAGCGGGUGAAAAGCCCGCUCGCCGUAAGCCCAAGGUUUCCUGCUCUACGUUCAUCGGAGCAGGGUGAGUCGGCCCCUAAGGCGAGGCUGAGAAGCGUAGCUGAUGGGAACAAGGUUAAUAUUCCUUGACCGCCGCCAAGUGCGAAGGGGGGACGGAGUAUUGAAGAUCAUCCGGGUGUUGGAAGUCCCGGUUUCCGAGCGUAGGAAGUCGACAGGCAAAUCCGUCGACGAAUUUCCGAGGCGAAGGAUCGAGGUUCUACGGAACCGAAGUGAUUGGAUGUGCUUCCAGGAAAAGCCUCUAAGCUCCAGCUUGGCGGGACCGUACCGCAAACCGACACUGGUGGGCGAGCUGAAUAUGCUCAGGCGCUUGAGAGAACUCAGGAGAAGGAACUCGGCAAAUUGACACCGUAACUUCGGGAUAAGGUGUGCCUUGGUAGCGUGAAGGAAGAAACAUCCGGAGCGUGAAGAGGUCUCAGAGAAUCGGUGGCUGCGACUGUUUACUAAAAACACAGCACUCUGCAAAGACGAAAGUCGACGUAUAGGGUGUGAUGCCUGCCCGGUGCUGGAAGAUUAAUUGAUGGGGUGCAAGCUCCUGAUCGAAGUCCCAGUAAACGGCGGCCGUAACUAUAACGGUCCUAAGGUAGCGAAAUUCCUUGUCGGGCAAGUUCCGACCUGCACGAAUGGCAUAACGAUGGCCACACUGUCUCCUCCUGAGACUCAGUGAAGUUGAAGUGUUUGUGAUGAUGCAAUCUCCCCGCGGCUAGACGGAAAGACCCCAUGAACCUUUACUGUAGCUUUGCAUUGGACUUUGAACCGAUCUGUGUAGGAUAGGCGGGAGACUGUGAAGCGAGGACGCCAGUUCUCGCGGAGUCGUCCUUGAAAUACCGCCCUGAUUUGUUUGAGGUUCUAACCUAGGUCAGUCAUCCUGAUCGGGGACCGUGCAUGGUAGGCAGUUUGACUGGGGCGGUCUCCUCCUAAAGGGUAACGGAGGAGUGCGAAGGUACGCUAGGUACGGUCGGAAAUCGUGCUGAUAGUGCAAUGGCAAAAGCGUGCUUGACUGCGAGACCGACAAGUCGAGCAGAUACGAAAGUAGGUCAUAGUGAUCCGGUGGCUCUGUAUGGAAGGGCCAUCGCUCAACGGAUAAAAGGUACUCUGGGGAUAACAGGCUGAUACCGCCCAAGAGUUCAUAUCGACGGCGGUGUUUGGCACCUCGAUGUCGGCUCAUCUCAUCCUGGGGCUGUAGCCGGUCCCAAGGGUAUGGCUGUUCGCCAUUUAAAGAGGUACGUGAGCUGGGUUUAAAACGUCGUGAGACAGUUUUGUCCCUAUCUGCCGUGGGCGUUGGAAGAUUGACGGGGGCUGCUCCUAGUACGAGAGGACCGGAGUGGACUGACCUCUGGUGUACCGGUUGUCACGCCAGUGGCAUCGCCGGGUAGCUAUGUCGGGAAGAGAUAACCGCUGAAAGCAUCUAAGCGGGAAACUUGCCUGAAGAUAAGUCUUCCUGGAGGCUUGACCUCCCUGAAGAGUCGUUCGAGACCAGGACGUUGAUAGGUUGGGUGUGUAAGCGCUGUGAGGCGUUGAGCUAACCAAUACUAAUUGCUCGUGCAGCUUGAUCCU